CGGCGAACGGGUGAGUAACACGUGAGCAACCUGCCCCGAAGACUGGGAUAACACCGGGAAACCGGUGCUAAUACCGGAUGUCCUUCUCUGGUCGCAUGGCCUAGGAAGGAAAGGAAUUUUGCUUCGGGAGGGGCUCGCGGGCUAUCAGCUUGUUGGUGAGGUAACGGCUCACCAAGGCGACGACGGCUAGCUGGUCUGAGAGGACGACCAGCCACACUGGGACUGAGACACGGCCCAG
Molecule: ribosomal RNA, 238 nt
Filed under: uncultured bacterium
Lineage: Bacteria
Description: partial 16S ribosomal RNA
Rfam family: Bacterial small subunit ribosomal RNA
Source: RNAcentral